AUACCUUUCUCAGCGUUUUAGCUAAGGUCAAGUGUAGUAUUUGUUCUUAUCAGUUUAAUAUCUGAUAUGUGUGUCAUUGGUCUCACAUGAUACUAACUCAAUCUUUAAAGAGGGAAGGUCCAUUAGAGUAGCUUGCUACUUGGGUCUUCGCGUGUCCCCUAGGUGUUGAACUACAACCUUGGCUUGGCACACCCCAC
Capsicum annuum is the source of this 197-nucleotide non-coding RNA. Lineage: Eukaryota; Viridiplantae; Streptophyta; Magnoliopsida; Solanales; Solanaceae. The record is from Rfam.